Oreochromis aureus is the source of this 4686-nucleotide long non-coding RNA. Lineage: Eukaryota; Metazoa; Chordata; Actinopteri; Cichliformes; Cichlidae. The record is from Ensembl.
AAUGCAUGAAAUGUAUGGCAAUCACGUGACGUGGUACAGGGCGUGGAUGUUCCCUUUGUGUGGAGAACGAAAGUUAACUGCACUUCUUGGUGUAGGAUUCUACGGCAAACAACUGAAGUUUAAUAUUAGAGGCGUAAUAUUACAAAUUUAAUAUUAAACUUCAGUUGUUUGCUAGGACUGGCGCUGGGGAGUACACAAAGCUGGAUGUGUACAUAAUGAAAAGAGAGAAAAAAUGCUGCCCUUCCUGAUUCUUCUGUUUCUAAACCCACUGAUUUCUGCCGCACAAGCGACACCUGCUGGCGUAUUGGAAAUCGCCCCAUUUUGAUGACGCUUUUCUGUGAGAUGACGCAGACAAGCCCUGCACAACUCCAAACAAACUUAUUAUUAUCAAACUGUCAAUAACUGUGAUGUGUUUUUUGUUGACUUGUAAGCUUCCUAGACCAGUUUGCGCCAUCUGGUUUUUUUUCUAGACACUGGCAAGCAAAGCUAGAAGCCGCCAUAGCCUCAGUUAUAAUUAGUUGUUAAUUAUAAUUUAUCUCUUUAAAUGAAAAGAUUUAAGGUGUUUCAGUUCAGUUUUAUUUAUUUAGCAUCAAAUCCCAUCAGCAGUUGUUUGAAGGUUCUCUAUAUUGUAAGGUAAAGACCCUACAAUAAUAGAUACCAAGGUAUUAAUACAGUAUAGCCAAUCAUAAUAUUGUUGUACUUUGGCUGCUUCAUUUUUUUUCCUCACUCCUAUCAAAUAUGUGGAUCAAAAGGAUACAAAGGACCAAACUCAGUGGCUGUGGAGAUUCAUAUCAAAGGGAACAGUCAAAAGAAGGAGAAGUGUUUGUGUGUGUUUUUAUGGUUUUGUCUAAAACUAUAGUACAGAAGACAUUGAUAUGAUUUUCAUGAUUUUAAUGUUCAGGUUAAAGUCAUUUAAGGUCAAGGUCUGGGAACACACAUCAGUGCAGGUCCUCACAGAGAAAGAGAAUCGAUUCUGUGUAAGUGGUGUAAUGAUUUAUCCACCACACAUCAGAUGACGCCAAGUAUGUCUGUUGUUUUAUCUCUUGCCCAGUUCAUCAGAGCUUUGCAGUUCCUCUUUAAAGUUAUUUGUUCUUAUUGGCUGCUAUAGAAGUAAAGAGCUAUACUCUGACCCCUUUAACCUCUCUGAUCUUUGUUGUUUCCUCUUUCAGACCCAAAACCCAUCACAGCUAAGCCUGGAGACAACGUCAUUCUGCCAUGUCAAGCUCCAAACAGCAACAACCUCGCAGGUGUGGAGUGGAGCAGACGUGACCUGGAGCCAGAAUAUGUUCUUUUGCUCCGAGAUGGGCACAUUGUUCCAGAAGACCAGCAACCAUCUUUUAAAGACCGGGUGGAACUCCAGGACCAACAGAUGAAAAAUGGAAACGUGUCUUUGAUUCUGGAGAAAGUGACAGCUGCAGAUGAUGGAACAUACGAGUGCCGUAUCCUCACGCAUGGGGGAGAACGGAGAAAGAGAGCUGUGGAAACCAUCAGCGUCAUCAACCUUCAUGUUGUUCCUGCAGGUGAGUGAGUAGAGUUGAGUGUGAGUGUGAUCAGAGGUGAAGCUGCUUCCUGGUUGUUGAUGUUUGUUUCUAAAGAUGUUGUUGAUGAGACUUUGUAGAAAGCAGCUGGUCUGAGUGAUGUGAUCAGAGUGCAGUAGAUAAUGUCUGACAGCAGUUUGAAGAGGAAAUGGAUUCUGUUCUGUUCUUCACUCAUCACCUACCUGACAGCUGACACCUCACACCUGUUUCUCACCUGCAGGUCAGACAGGAGAAGCCACAGAGGAUGGAGGAGGGAAGAUUGGAUCUGUUGAACCUGCAGCUAUUCUUUCAGUUUCUGCUCUGCUCCUUCUUCUUCUUGCUUCUGUUGUUGGCUUUGUGAUCUACAGAAAACGUAAACCACAACAGAGUCAGAAAUCAUACCAGCCUCCAGCUGAACAAUCGCCUGUCUGAAAAUUUUCAGAGCUUUUUUCAGCUUUACUUUAAAUUUCCUGCUGCUGUUCCAAGUUCUCCCUUCUGACAUUCAGCAUGUGGAAAUAUAAUAUAGGUCCGAAUCUGGGCCCUGUACUAUGAAGCAAGUCCAACAUACCCAGAGUAUCUUUCCUGACAUUGGUGGUCAUAAGAAGCUUGUCAUCUAGUUGCUUGGUUAACACAGAGUUUUCCAAUCUAGGUAUGAGUGAAUAAAAGAGGUGGCACUGGCAGCAUCUGGCCAUUCAUGUUGAGAAUUGUACUGGCAGAUAAGUGGCUGAUUUUGCAAUGAAAGAGUAAAUUGGAAAAAUGUGAAAAAGGUUAGAAAUAAUAUUAAAUAAAAGCAACACAGCUGCUGCAGAUCAAUCAGCACAGUGGGAGUUAAAGUAGAGCAGAGUAGUUCAUUCUUAAACGCGCUCUAAUGUGUGAGCCUUAAAUGUUUUGAAGAAUCUGAUGUAAUACAUUCUUGUAUUCUACAAAGUUAAUGUUCAGAUUAGCAAAAAACAGUUUUAUUUUUUACUUGUCAGCUGCAGCCCUGAUUGUGUAAAUAAGUAAAUAAUAAAUGCAAUAACAGGAUUCCAAUGUACCUGCUGUCCACCUGGAACUGAUAUAAAAUUCAAAAAUUCAAAUUCAAAUUUUAUUUGUCACAUACACAGUCAUACACAGUACGAUAUGCAGUGAAAUGCCUUAUACAACUGCUCGUGACCUAAAGAAAAAAAAGAAAGAAAAGGCUAUGAAUAAAAUAGGAAAUAAAUAUGAAAAUUAAAAGGGUGAAUUUAACUAGGAAGGAAUAAAAUAGAAUAUAUAUGAAUUAGAGUUGAAAAUAAAGUAACUGUACAACAAAAUGAACAGUAUGGAAAUAAUAAGAAUGUAUGAGGAAAUAUAAUAUAAAUAUAUAUGCAAUAUACAAUAGCAGCAGCUGUACAAAUAUUAAAUGGAAAUGAAGACAUAUAAGAAAUAUAAUGUCCAGUGUUGUGCAAACCACAAUGCACAUAUAAAGUCUUAUAAUAUAAUAAUGAUAUAAUAUAAUAUAAUAUAAAGACUUCGGACAACUACUACUAUCCACGCACUGGUCUGAAUGAUCUUCCAGGAAUGGUGAUGCUGUUUGUCACAGACUUAGUUUGCCAGUAGGAAGUGAUCUCACACCUCAUUUCAUACCUACAGAUCUCUAUGACCCAACCUGUUCAAUAGCAGGUUAGGUCAUAGAUUAACAAGGAACCCCAGGAAAAAGUGAACCACCUUCAUAGUACAGAAAACCCAGGUUGAACCCUGAAGUUACCUGGGUAAGACAAAAUUCUCCUAACAGGCCUUUCAUCUUCAGUUGCUUCGUAAUAAACGUCCAUCAUCUGAGGAAUAAUUGCCUCAUCAUCCUCACCUCAAAACAGAGAGCAAAGAGAAAAUGAAAUCACUUAUUCUAAAUGCUAAACCUUUUAUUGCUAAUCUAGCAAUAAAAUGUCUGUUAAGGGCAAAUAAAUAUGAAACAACAAGAAAAAAUGCAAGAAUAAAAAAUAACAAAAACUAAAACUUCCACAGUUUUAUAUAGAUUGAAUGCAUUCUGUCUCUGUCUGUCACAACAUGAACUAAAGAUUUGCUGUUGUGGUGUUUUGAUUGAGGGUCUGUCUGGUAAUGAUGUAUGUGAGUAGAUUAGUGACUGUGAGCCAAUUAUGAAAUGAUUCUCUGUUUAAUAUUAAUGUCUUGUUUGAAACUUCAAGUCUCCUCAUAAGCUACAGUUAAACAUAGCAUGUAUUUUACAAACAUAGUAUGUAUUUUACUGUUUCUUGCAUUUUUAUUUAGCAUCAGUUUUUUAAACAAAAUCCUGGUUGGGAGAUAUUACUUGUAUGAUUACCUGCUGAAGCUUUAAUGUGUGUUUUGAAAGACUAGUGUGAAAUGUAAAUAAAGGGAAAACUAUCAGUUUAUAUUGUUUUUGUUUUUCUGUUGUUUUGUGCUCAGGUUCUUUCCUUUAGUGGUGAAUAUGAAAACAACAACAACAACUGGCUAUUAUAAUCUUCAUGCAGGUCUAAUCUCACUGGGGACCACCUGAUCUCAGCUCCUACAGAGAGAGAAGCUACAGCACUAAAGAUUUAAAAGUCAAUCAUUUUUCCCUCAAGACACAUUUGAGUCUAAAGCUUCUCUUUAUACCUGAUAUAAAAGCUGCUUAUCAGUUAUUCAUUGAACAAAGUUCUCUCUGUAGAACACACACUGAUUAUACUCAAUAAAAGCUGGUAAUAAACUUUUAUUGAGUAUAAAAGUUUAUUACUUUUAUACUCAAUAAGUGCAGUUUAUACAAUAACUACAGUUAUAAACUACAGUUUAUAACUUUAGUUUAUAACUACAGUUUAUAAUUGUAGUUAUUGUAGUUAGCUUUCAAUAACUACAGUAUGUACCAAAAAUACUUUGGACUAAACUUAAAUUCAGCCAAAGCUCCUCAUGAGUUUGUGACUGUAACUAGAAGCAAAACAGUUCAUGUUAUUGUCUGAAGGUCAGCUUCAGCUCUGCCACCGUUUCUCAGCUUGAGGCAGGAAGAAGGUUUCAGUUCUUCUUCUCUGAGUCUAAAGUGCAAACUAAGCCUGAUGUGUAAACACACUGCUGAUCUUUGAUUCAGCUGCUUCAGGUUAAUGAGUGUUUCAGUCAGACUGCAGUAAACUCGUCACUCUGUACACUCUGAUUAAGGGCACGGGCUAUAUUAAAACUUUGAUGUUUUUAAUACAUACUCAAAUAAGAC